UACGGAGGGGGCAAGCGUUGUUCGGAAUUACUGGGCGUAAAGGGCGCGUAGGCGGCCAGUUGCGUCGGGUGUGAAAGCCCCGGGCUCAACCUGGGAGGUGCACUUGAUACGGGCUGGCUGGAAUCCGGGAGAGGAUGGUAGAAUUCCCAGUGUAGAGGUGAAAUUCGUAGAUAUUGGGAAGAACACCGAUGGCGAAGGCAGCCAUCUGGACCGGGAUUGACGCUGAGGCGCGAAAGCGUGGGGAGCAAACAGG
RNAcentral lists this ribosomal RNA (253 nucleotides) under uncultured bacterium. RNAcentral describes it as "partial 16S ribosomal RNA". It matches the Rfam family "Bacterial small subunit ribosomal RNA", at positions 524 to 776 of the family's 1533-position model. The record is from RNAcentral.